This 354-nucleotide unclassified non-coding RNA is filed under the name uncultured fungus. RNAcentral describes it as "partial contains small subunit ribosomal RNA, internal transcribed spacer 1, and 5.8S ribosomal RNA". The stretch from base 1 to 73 matches the Rfam family "Eukaryotic small subunit ribosomal RNA", at positions 1759 to 1831 of the family's 1831-position model. The record is from RNAcentral. Lineage: Eukaryota; Fungi.
GCAAACUUGGUCAUUUAGAGGAAGUAAAAGUCGUAACAAGGUUUCCGUAGGUGAACCUGCGGAAGGAUCAUUACAGUGCCGUCGGGACGCCACGCCUCGGCGUGGGCGUCUCGCACCUGGCCACCCGUGUUUACUUGACCUAUUGUUGCUUUGGCGGGCCCGCCAGGUGUUGGUUACGCGUAACCACGAUCUCCUGGCCGCCGGGGGGCAGACGUGCCAAACGUGCCCCUGGUCCGUGCCCGCCGAAGGACCCCUCGAACGCAUGUGUAGAAAGUGACGUCUGAGUGGAUCAGUGAAUCAGUUAAAACUUUCAACAACGGAUCUCUUGGUUCCGGCAUCGAUGAAGAACGCAGC